Molecule: ribosomal RNA, 501 nt
Filed under: uncultured bacterium
Lineage: Bacteria
Description: bacterial SSU rRNA
Rfam family: Bacterial small subunit ribosomal RNA
Source: RNAcentral
AUUGAACGCUGGCGGCAUGCCUUACACAUGCAAGUCGAACGGCAGCACGGGAGCAAUCCUGGUGGCGAGUGGCGAACGGGUGAGUAAUAUAUCGGAACGUGCCCAGUAGUGGGGGAUAGCCCGGCGAAAGCCGGAUUAAUACCGCAUACGACCUGUGGGUGAAAGCGGGGGAUCGCAAGACCUCGCGCUAUUGGAGCGGCCGAUAUCAGAUUAGCUAGUUGGUGGGGUAAAGGCCCACCAAGGCGACGAUCUGUAGCUGGUCUGAGAGGACGACCAGCCACACUGGAACUGAGAGACGGACCAGACUCCUACGGGAGGCAGCAGUGGGGAAUAUUGGACAAUGGGGGGCAACCCUGAUCCAGCGAUGCCGCGUGUGUGAAGAAGGCCUGAGGGUUGUAAAGCACUUUAGUUGGGGAGGAAGAAUCCAGAGAUGAAUAAGCUAUGGAAAUGACGUUACCAAAGAAUAAGCACCGGCUAACUACGUGCCAGCAGCCGCGGUAA